GGAAUAUUGGACAAUGGGGGAAACCCUGAUCCAGCCAUGCCGCGUGAGUGAAGAAGGCCUGAGGGUUGUAAAGCUCUUUCAGCGGGGACGAUGAUGACGGUACCCGCAGACGAAGCCCCGGCUACCCCCGUGCCAGCAGCCGCGGUAAUACGGAGGGGGCUAGCGUUGUUCGGAAUCACUGGGCGUAAAGCGCACGUAGGCGGUCCGUCAAGUCAGGUGUGAAAGCCCCGGGCUCAACCUGGAAACUGCACUUGAUACUGACGGGCUAGAGUACGGGAGAGGGUAGUGGAAUUCCCAGUGUAGAGGUGAAAUUCGUAGAUAUUGGGAAGAACACCAGUGGCGAAGGCGGCUACCUGGACCGGUACUGACGCUGAGGUGCGAAAGCGUGGGGAGCAAAC
RNAcentral lists this ribosomal RNA (398 nucleotides) under uncultured bacterium. RNAcentral describes it as "bacterial SSU rRNA". It matches the Rfam family "Bacterial small subunit ribosomal RNA", at positions 358 to 773 of the family's 1533-position model. The record is from RNAcentral.